AUUCUUCCAAUUCCACCAUCAACGCACUGAAUAGACACCACAUCGACCUUUGUCAGGGACUUCUCUCUCUAAUAAUACAAUUCUUCCAAUUCCACCAUCAACGCACUGAAUAGACACCACAUCGACCUCUUUGUCAGGGACUUCUUUCUCUAAUAAUACAAUUCUUCCAAUUCCACCAUCAACGCACUGAAUAGACACAACAUCGACCUCUUUGUCAGGGACUUCUCUCUCUAAUAAUACAGUAUGUAUCUGUCUAUAACAACAAUGUCUGCAUUGCUAACAUGUAUUCUUUUUUCAGAUUCUUUCAAU
This is a long non-coding RNA of Ctenocephalides felis (cat flea), 309 nucleotides long. RefSeq lists it as uncharacterized. The record is from RefSeq and is a predicted model, not a curated record. The transcript is spliced from 3 exons. NCBI's taxonomy places the organism in Eukaryota, Metazoa, Arthropoda, Insecta, Siphonaptera, Pulicidae.